AUGUAGCUGGUCAAAGGCUUGUUUGUCUGGACUCUGGAAAGCAAACCACUGCAGCUUACUAGUAAGACACAAGGGUAUCCUGAAAAUAUUAGCAUUUUAUACACUGGUUUUUUUUAAGUGAAAGUCUGCUUAAUUGUAAAAUAUGGUGCUUAGUUGGUUAACAGUAUCUUUAAUAAAAGAGAUAAUACCACUCAGUAGAGAAUAUAGAAAUUACUUUUUGAUCAGUUCAAAAACAAAAUAUUUAUAUUCUGGCCUCUUCUAUUUUAUAUUUUAUUUUACGCAAUAAUUUAAUGAUCUUUAUUGGUUUUAUUCCAUCUUGAGAGAAAUACCAGAAGGUAUUACUCAAGUAAAAACUAUGAAAAGAAAAGAA
This 370-nucleotide long non-coding RNA is filed under the name Bos taurus (domestic cattle). RNAcentral's name for it is "long non-coding RNA NONBTAT011571". Lineage: Eukaryota; Metazoa; Chordata; Mammalia; Artiodactyla; Bovidae. The record is from RNAcentral.